GUGAGGAAUAUUGGUCAAUGGACGAGAGUCUGAACCAGCCAAGUCGCGUGAAGGAAGACGGUUCUAUGAAUUGUAAACUUCUUUUGUGCAGGAAUAAAGUGGGUUACGUGUAACCUUUUGUAUGUACUGUACGAAUAAGGAUCGGCUAACUCCGUGCCAGCAGCCGCGGUAAUACGGAGGAUCCGAGCGUUAUCCGGAUUUAUUGGGUUUAAAGGGUGCGUAGGGGGAUUGAUAAGUCAGCGGUGAAAGUUUGCAGCUUAACUGUAAAAUUGCCGUUGAAACUGGCGGUCUUGAGUGCAAAUGAGGUAGGCGGAAUGUGUUGUGUAGCGGUGAAAUGCUUAGAUAUAACACAGAACUCCGAUUGCGAAGGCAGCUUACUGGGAUGCAACUGACACUGAUGCACGAAAGCGUGGGUAUCAAACAGGAUUAGAAACCCGGGUAGUCC
Molecule: ribosomal RNA, 445 nt
Filed under: uncultured bacterium
Lineage: Bacteria
Description: partial 16S ribosomal RNA
Rfam family: Bacterial small subunit ribosomal RNA
Source: RNAcentral